UCGGGGUGUAGCGCAGCUUGGCAGCGCGCUUCGUUCGGGACGAAGAGGUCGUGGGUUCAAAUCCCGCCACCCCGACAGU
Molecule: transfer RNA, 79 nt
Filed under: Streptomyces turgidiscabies Car8
Lineage: Bacteria; Bacillati; Actinomycetota; Actinomycetes; Kitasatosporales; Streptomycetaceae
Description: tRNA-Pro
Rfam family: tRNA
About the family: Transfer RNA (tRNA) molecules are approximately 80 nucleotides in length.
Source: RNAcentral